RNAcentral lists this ribosomal RNA (323 nucleotides) under uncultured bacterium. Its description in RNAcentral is "bacterial SSU rRNA". It matches the Rfam family "Bacterial small subunit ribosomal RNA", at positions 28 to 334 of the family's 1533-position model. The record is from RNAcentral.
GAUGAACGCUGGCGGCGUGCCUAACACAUGCAAGUCGAGCGGGAUUUUCCGGAUUGAAACUUCGGUCGAAAGAAGGGAAUGAGAGCGGCGGACGGGUGAGUAACGCGUAGGCAACCUGCCCCUUGCAGGGGGAUAGCCACUGGAAACGGUGAUUAAAACCUCAUAAUGCCACUUUAAGACAUCUUUUAGUGGCCAAAGAUUUAUCGGCAAGGGAUGGGCCUGCGUCUGAUUAGCUAGUUGGUGGGGUAACGGCCUACCAAGGCGACGAUCAGUAGCCGACCUGAGAGGGUGAUCGGCCACAUUGGAACUGAGACACGGUCCAA